CUUACCAUUCACGGCUGAAACCCAUAUUAGCUGGCUUGGAGAUUUCACCAUCACAGUGGAGUCACCCUUGACAAGUUCAACAGGGGCUAGGCUCUGCUCUUGGUGGGCUCUCGGCAGCCUCGACCACUCUUUCCCUGCGUAGCCUACACACUCUGCCCCUGCUGCCUUUCCCACCCUGACCCUAUUUCUCAGGCUCCUCCACAGCACCCUCAUGGUGCGCACACCUCUCAGAUGCCAGCACUCCAGUGCUCUGAUCCUCUCCCCACUGUGAUCCCCAUGACCUCAGCUGCCACCUGCUGCUGUUAGUCACUCACACCAGCGUUCUGUAACCUGGAUCCUCUCCAACUUCCAAAUCACCGGUGGUCCCUGCCCGCUCGUCUGGAUAGCCCACAGAUGUGUGGAACUCAGGAAAAAGGAGAGAAGCUGCAUUUUCCAUUUCAGUCGAUGGGACCAACACCCUUCCAGAAACCCCUCCUCAUGGAACCUCAACAAGGUAUGUUCCUGAGGGUCUCUACCCAGAGAUGGCCCCCAUGGUACUGUCAGGACUCCUCUUGAGCUACUCUUCUGGGACCCAGGGAGGCAGGGGGUGGACCAAGGGGCCCUUGGGGGACUAAUGUUUGGGGCCAGUGUGUGUGUGUGUGUGUGUGUGUGUGUGUGUGUGUGUGUGUGUGUAGGAGAGGAACAGAGCAGCACCAUUCUCUGGGCUUGCUAACAUUCAACGAAUCCCACCCAGGCCCACUCUAUUGGUUUCCCGGGGCUGUAUAACAAAGUAACACAGUCUGGGUGGCUGAAGCAGCACACAUCUAUUGUCUCACAGCUCUGGAGGCUAGAAGUCCAAGAUCAAGGUGUCAGCAGGCUUGGUUUCUUCAGAGGCUUCUCUCCUUGGUUUUCAGGUGGUCAUCUUCUCUCUGUGUCUUCACAUCAUCUUCCCUCUGUGUGUGUCCAUGUCCAAAAUGCCUCUGCUUAUAAGGCACCGGCCACAUAGGAUUAGAGCCCACCCUAAUGACCUCACUUUAAUUUAAUUAUUUCUUUAAAGACCCCCAUCUCCAAGUAUCACAUUCUGUGAUAUCCUGGGGGUGAGGACUUCAGCAUAUUAAUUUGGGAGGGCACCAUCCAGCCCAUAACACCUUCUGGAAGCAGCAAGCACCUUAUCCCAUAUGGGCAGUUAUGCACCAC
RNAcentral lists this long non-coding RNA (1176 nucleotides) under Felis catus (domestic cat). RNAcentral describes it as "lncRNA (ENSFCAG00000047342.1)". Lineage: Eukaryota; Metazoa; Chordata; Mammalia; Carnivora; Felidae. The record is from RNAcentral.